UACGUAGGGUGCAAGCGUUAAUCGGAAUUACUGGGCGUAAAGCGUGCGCAGGCGGUUUUGUAAGUCUGAUGUGAACUCCCCGGGCUCAACCUGGGAAUUGCAUUGGAGACUGCAAGGCUAGAAUCUGGCAGAGGGGGGUAGAAUUCCACGUGUAGCAGUGAAAUGCGUAGAGAUGUGGAGGAACACCGAUGGCGAAGGCAGCCCCCUGGGUCAAGAUUGACGCUCAUGCACGAAAGCGUGGGGAGCAAACAGG
This 253-nucleotide ribosomal RNA is filed under the name uncultured bacterium. RNAcentral describes it as "partial 16S ribosomal RNA". It matches the Rfam family "Bacterial small subunit ribosomal RNA", at positions 524 to 776 of the family's 1533-position model. The record is from RNAcentral.